This 4216-nucleotide long non-coding RNA is filed under the name Cucumis sativus (cucumber). Its description in RNAcentral is "long non-coding RNA (CSAT_LNC002571)". The record is from RNAcentral. Lineage: Eukaryota; Viridiplantae; Streptophyta; Magnoliopsida; Cucurbitales; Cucurbitaceae.
UUUGGACCGAUGAUAGCCCGCGGAUAGGUGUGGAAACCCAUCUAUAUUGCACCCAGUAUGACACAGAAAAAAAGCCCAGGGCCUAGGGGUCGGGUGGGGCUCGUUCGGGGUGCACAACGGUUGCGCCAAAAACGGUCCAAAAAUGGCCAAGGCUUUACCAUACGAAAAAUCGGCCGAUUUUUAACCAUGUGAGAAACGUCCCGAAAAUUCACAGAUAACUACUAGGAGGCCUCACUCUGAGUAAUAUCAAAGUUUUUUCCCACAAAACCGCUCGGAGAUGCCCAACUCAGUUUUUAUUUUCGUCCCAAUACUUUUCUUCCAAUGGACUAGUUGUGUUUCUUUGAUCUUGUGCAACCUAUUUAGGCCGAUGAUAGCCGCGGAUAGGGUGGAAACCCAUCUAUAUUGCACCCAGUACGACACAGAAAAAAAGCCCAGGGCCUAGGGGUCGGGUGGGGCUCGUUCGGGGUGCACAACGGUUGCGCCAAAAACGGUCCAAAAAUGGCCAAGGCUUUACCAUACGAAAAAUCGGCCGAUUUUUAACCAUGUGAGAAACGUCCCGAAAAUUCACAGAUAACUACUAGGAGGCCUCACUCUGAGUAAUAUCAAAGUUUUUUCCCACAAGAACCGCUCGGAGAUGCCCGGACUCAGUUUUUAUUUUCGUCCCAAUACUUUUCUUCCAAUGGACUAGUUGUGUUUCUUUGAUCUUGUGCAACCUCUUUAGGCCGAUGAUAGCCCGCGGAUAGGUGUGGAAACCCAUCUAUAUUGCACCCAGUACGACACAGAAAAAAAGCCCAGGGCCUAGGGGUCGGGUGGGGCUCGUUCGGGGUGCACAACGGUUGCGCCAAAAACGGUCCAAAAAUGGCCAAGGCUUUACCAUACGAAAAAUCGGCCGAUUUUUAACCAUGUGAGAAACGUCCCGAAAAUUCACAGAUAACUACUAGGAGGCCUCACUCUGAGUAAUAUCAAAGUUUUUUCCCACAAGAACCGCUCGGAGAUGCCCGGACUCAGUUUUUAUUUUCGUCCCAAUACUUUUCUUCCAAUGGACUAGUUGUGUUUCUUUGAUCUUGUGCAACCUCUUUAGGCCGAUGAUAGCCCGCGGAUAGGUGUGGAAACCCAUCUAUAUUGCACCCAGUACGACACAGAAAAAAAGCCCAGGGCCUAGGGGUCGGGUGGGGCUCGUUCGGGGUGCACAACGGUUGCGCCAAAAACGGUCCAAAAAUGGCCAAGGCUUUACCAUACGAAAAAUCGGCCGAUUUUUAACCAUGUGAGAAACGUCCCGAAAAUUCACAGAUAACUACUAGGAGGCCUCACUCUGAGUAAUAUCAAAGUUUUUUCCCACAAGAACCGCUCGGAGAUGCCCAGCUCAGUUUUUAUUUUCGUCCCAAUACUUUUCUUCCAUGGACUAGUUGUGUUUCUUUGAUCUUGUGCAACCUAUUUAGGCCGAUGAUAGCCCGCGGAUAGGUGUGGAAACCCAUCUAUAUUGCACCCAGUAUGACACAGAAAAAAAGCCCAGGGCCUAGGGGUCGGGUGGGGCUCGUUCGGGGUGCACAACGGUUGCGCCAAAAACGGUCCAAAAAUGGCCAAGGCUUUACCAUACGAAAAAUCGGCCGAUUUUUAACCAUGUGAGAAACGUCCCGAAAAUUCACAGAUAACUACUAGGAGGCCUCACUCUGAGUAAUAUCAAAGUUUUUCCCACAAGAACCGCUCGGAGAUGCCCGGACUCAGUUUUUAUUUUCGUCCCAAUACUUUUCUUCCAAUGGACUAGUUGUGUUUCUUUGAUCUUGUGCAACCUCUUUAGGCCGAUGAUAGCCCGCGGAUAGGUGUGGAAACCCAUCUAUAUUGCACCCAGUAUGACACAGAAAAAAAGCCCAGGGCCUAGGGGUCGGGUGGGGCUCGUUCGGGGUGCACAACGGUUGCGCCAAAAACGGUCCAAAAAUGGCCAAGGCUUUACCAUACCGAAAAUCGGCCGAUUUUUAACCAUGUGAGAAACGUCCCGAAAAUUCACAGAUAACUACUAGGAGGCCUCACUCUGAGUAAUAUCAAAGUUUUCUCCCACAAGAACCGCUCGGAGAUGCCCGACUCAGUUUUUAUUUUCGUCCCAAUACUUUUCUUCCCAUGGACUAGUUGUGUUUCUUUGAUCUUGUGCAACCUAUUUAGGCCGAUGAUAGCCCGCGGAUAGGUGUGGAAACCCAUCUAUAUUGCACCCAGUAUGACACAGAAAAAAAGCCCAGGGCCUAGGGGUCGGGUGGGGCUCGUUCGGGGUGCACAACGGUUGCGCCAAAAACGGUCCAAAAAUGGCCAAGGCUUUACCAUACGAAAAAUCGGCCGAUUUUUAACCAUGUGAGAAACGUCCCGAAAAUUCACAGAUAACUACUAGGAGGCCUCACUCUGAGUAAUAUCAAAGUUUUUUCCCACAAGAACCGCUCGGAGAUGCCCGGACUCAGUUUUUAUUUUCGUCCCAAUACUUUUCUUCCAAUGGACUAGUUGUGUUUCUUUGAUCUUGUGCAACCUCUUUAGGCCGAUGAUAGCCCGCGGAUAGGUGUGGAAACCCAUCUAUAUUGCACCCAGUAUGACACAGAAAAAAGCCCAGGGCCUAGGGGUCGGGUGGGGCUCGUUCGGGGUGCACAACGGUUGCGCCAAAAACGGUCCAAAAAUGGCCAAGGCUUUACCAUACCGAAAAUCGGCCGAUUUUUAACCAUGUGAGAAACGUCCCGAAAAUUCACAGAUAACUACUAGGAGGCCUCACUCUGAGUAAUAUUAAAGUUUUUUCCCACAAGAACCGCUCGGAGAUGCCCAGACUCAGUUUUUAUUUUCGUCCCAAUGCUUUUCUUCCCAUGGACUAGUUUUGUUUCUUUGAUCUUGUGCAACCUAUUUAGGCCGAUGAUAGCCCGCGGAUAGGUGUGGAAACCCAUCUAUAUUGCACCCAGUAUGACACAGAAAAAAAGCCCAGGGCCUAGGGGUCGGGUGGGGCUCGUUCGGGGUGCACAACGGUUGCGCCAAAAACGGUCCAAAAAUGGCCAAGGCUUUACCAUACCGAAAAUCGGCCGAUUUUUAACCAUGUGAGAAACGUCCCGAAAAUUCACAGAUAACUACUAGGAGGCCUCACUCUGAGUAAUAUUAAAGUUUUCUCCCACAAGAACCGCUCGGAGAUGCCCAGACUCAGUUUUUAUUUUCGUCCCAAUACUUUUCUUCCCAUGGACUAGUUGUGUUUCUUUGAUCUUGUGCAACCUAUUUAGGCCGAUGAUAGCCCGCGGAUAGGUGUGGAAACCCAUCUAUAUUGCACCCAGUAUGACACAGAAAAAAAGCCCAGGGCCUAGGGGUCGGGUGGGGCUCGUUCGGGGUGCACAACGGUUGCGCCAAAAACGGUCCAAAAAUGGCCAAGGCUUUACCAUACGAAAAAUCGGCCGAUUUUUAACCAUGUGAGAAACGUCCCGAAAAUUCACAGAUAACUACUAGGAGGCCUCACUCUGAGUAAUAUCAAAGUUUUUCCCACAAGAACCGCUCGGAGAUGCCCGGACUCAGUUUUUAUUUUCGUCCCAAUACUUUUCUUCCAAUGGACUAGUUGUGUUUCUUUGAUCUUGUGCAACCUAUUUAGGCCGAUGAUAGCCCGCGGAUAGGUGUGGAAACCCAUCUAUAUUGCACCCAGUAUGACACAGAAAAAAAGCCCAGGGCCUAGGGGUCGGGUGGGGCUCGUUCGGGGUGCACAACGGUUGCGCCAAAAACGGUCCAAAAAUGGCCAAGGCUUUACCAUACCGAAAAUCGGCCGAUUUUUAACCAUGUGAGAAACGUCCCGAAAAUUCACAGAUAACUACUAGGAGGCCUCACUCUGAGUAAUAUUAAAGUUUUCUCCCACAAGAACCGCUCGGAGAUGCCCAGACUCAGUUUUUAUUUUCGUCCCAAUGCUUUUCUUCCCAUGGACUAGUUUUGUUUCUUUGAUCUUGUGCAACCUAUUUAGGCCGAUGAUAGCCCGCGGAUAGGUGUGGAAACCCAUCUAUAUUGCACCCAGUAUGACACAGAAAAAAGCCCAGGGCCUAGGGGUCGGGUGGGGCUCGUUCGGGGUGCACAACGGUUGCGCCAAAAACGGUCCAAAAAUGGCCAAGGCUUUACCAUACCGAAAAUCGGCCGAUUUUUAACCAUGUGAGAAACGUCCCGAAAAUUCACAGAUAACUACUAGGAGGCCUCACUCUGAGUAAUAUCAAAGUUUUUCCCACAAGAA